GUCCAUAGUUUAUUUAUGUGCUUUAUCACUUUAUAUAUUAAGCAUAAAUAUAUGUGGCACGGCAUUGAUAGUUUUCGAUGGCCUAUAUUUUGCCGGAUGCCAGUAACCCAAUCCAGCAUAUCCCUACUCUCUGCCCACAGCCAUGUCUCUACUUAACAUAUUAUACAUAUUACAACUUGAAAGAUAUUAUUUGCACUUCACUUGGUUGGACUAGAAUACUGGGUUUGGUGGAUAAUCCAAUAUAUAUAAGUUAGAGUUAUAAACCGAGAAGGAGGUUUAUAACUGAUAUAUUGCCCCCCAAGGACGCGUAGUGUCCAAGGGCAAUAUAUCAGUUAUAAACAGAUUUUCGAAGUUUAUAACUAACUUAUAUCUCAUUUGUGGAG
Molecule: non-coding RNA, 383 nt
Organism: Paramuricea clavata
Lineage: Eukaryota; Metazoa; Cnidaria; Anthozoa; Malacalcyonacea; Plexauridae
Source: the annotation of a GenBank genome assembly